GGUAUUCUCUGGAAAUCAAAUGGCAAGUCUUUACAGAGGGCAAUCUAGGAAGGACAAUUACAAACCCAGAGCACGUCAUCAUGGGUUAAGUCAACAGAAGAGGCAAGAAAUUAGGGAAGCUUUUGAGCUAUUUGAUACUGAUGGCUCAGGCACUAUUGAUGCCAAGGAGUUGAAUGUUGCCAUGAGGGCGCUCGGUUUCGAAAUGACAGAAGAGCAAAUCAAUCAAAUGAUUGCAGAUGUGGACAAGGAUGGCAGUGGUGCAAUUGAUUAUGAUGAAUUUGAACAUAUGAUGACGGCCAAGAUUGGAGAAAGGGAUACUAAAGAGGAGCUCAUGAAAGCAUUCCGCAUUAUUGACCAAGAUAACAAUGGAAAGAUAUCUCAUGAUGAUAUUAAGCGAAUAGCAAAGGAGCUGGGUGAGAACUUCACUGACAGAGAUAUUCAAGAGAUGAUUGAUGAAGCAGACCGAGAUGGUGAUAGAGAAGUGGGUAUUGAUGAUUUCUUCAGGAUGAUGAAGAGGACAGCAUAUAGAUACUAGAUUGAAGUUCAGCAUGAUGACAACAGGUCCAUCCUAUGCGAAGGGUUUAUUUCUGGGCCUUCAGGCCAUGCUAUUGCUGUAAUAUGUAUGUAGAAAUAAAGUUUUUCUUUCCUUUGUUUUCUUUCCAAUAAUGAUUUAUGGUGUAACUGGUUUUGUUUACAUGUAUUAUCGUUACUGUGUUGACGAAUCUUAAUUGUUUUUU
This 737-nucleotide unclassified non-coding RNA is filed under the name Hevea brasiliensis (rubber tree). The record is from RNAcentral. Lineage: Eukaryota; Viridiplantae; Streptophyta; Magnoliopsida; Malpighiales; Euphorbiaceae.